GAGGGUAUAGCUCAGUGAUAAAGCACAUGCCCAGCACUCACAAGGUCCUGGGUUCAAUCCCCAGUACCUCCA
This 72-nucleotide transfer RNA is filed under the name Camelus bactrianus (Bactrian camel). It matches the Rfam family "tRNA". From Rfam's summary of the family: Transfer RNA (tRNA) molecules are approximately 80 nucleotides in length. Their secondary structure includes four short double-helical elements and three loops (D, anti-codon, and T loops). Lineage: Eukaryota; Metazoa; Chordata; Mammalia; Artiodactyla; Camelidae. RNAcentral also lists the same sequence under 1 other name. The record is from Rfam by way of RNAcentral.